Molecule: long non-coding RNA, 3756 nt
Organism: Chelonia mydas (Green sea turtle)
Lineage: Eukaryota; Metazoa; Chordata; Testudines; Cheloniidae
Exons: 3
Source: RefSeq, a predicted model, not a curated record
UAGCAUUUUGAUUUAAUUUUUUUUAUUAUUGCUAUCUAAUACCAUUUCAUCAUUUCCUUUUAACCUACACUCCAGAAAGCAUAAAUGUCUCCACUACCAAGCAAACAAAAACCACAACCACAGCAGAAGUGGAGGCUGGAGCAGGAGGUAAUCUAGAAGUAUUGAGAGGGAAGAGUGAGCAGAUGCAAAAUGUCUCUGGACACACGGAAGGCUGAACCUUUUCCACCUGUGAUGAAUCCAGGGUGUUGGUGGAAAUGUAUAUAGAAGGCCUCUUGUCCACUGAAGAAGGAAGGCAUUUUCCAAUGAGAAAGGGCCUGACACCUCCCCCACCCCCUCAAGCAAAAGUGUUUACAUUUCUUGUUGUUAACCGUGGAAAAGAGAUCUACUUCUGGAAAUCCCCAAGCCAGAAAGAUUUGAUUGAGAAUCCAGGAAUCUAACUCCCAGCAUAGUUGUGGGAGAAGUGUUAUCUGAGGUCAUUCACUAUCCUGUUUUGUUCCCUGGGAGGUAAAUUACUGAGAUUAGAAUGCAAUUGGCUAUGCACCAGUUCCAGAACUUCAUCACUUCAGCACAAAAGGAAGGAGAUCUGACCCCUCCUUGUUGACUGAUAUAAAACAUGCAAGGCUAUACUGUCUGUCAAGAUCUUUAUGGACCUGUCUCUGAUUAAAAGCAGGAAGUGGAUAUAAGGAUUUCUGUCUGCCCUCAGCUUGAGGAGGUUGAUAUGUCGCCAUGCCUCUUAGGCAGACCAUUUGCUCUGAGUGGUGGAGGUCCCUAAAGGUGCUCCCACCCCACCCAGCUCAUCAGGGUUGCAUCUGUUGUUAUGGUGAAGGAAGGAGGAAGUUGAACAAAUAAAAUCCCCAUGCAGACAUUAUCUGGAUCUUUCCACCAAUUGAGAAACUCUCAUGCUUGACAAGGGACCAGCACCAGCUUGUUCAGGCUGUGUUUGUUUGGAGUGUAUAAACAGUCCUGAGCCAACCCAAAACAUCAAAGGCAGAGCCUGGCAUGUUGUGUCACAAAGGUGCAAGCUGCCAUAUGAGUGAGUAGUUAAAGACAAAUUCUUCUUGAUGUCUGUGGGCUGAUUUGAAUCUUUGAGAUGAGAUUUGUUAACAUCAAGAAUCUGUCAAGGGAAGAUAAGUCUGGGGUGAUAUUGCAUCUAAGGAUGCUCCUGUGAACUCUAGUCUUUGUACCGGCCUCAAAGUGGAUUUCUCGAUGUUGAGCUGCAAACCUAGCUAACACAACAGGGAUCUUAUCUUUAUGACAGCAAAAACUUCAUUAUAAGAUUGGCCCUUGAGUAGCCAGUUCAUCCCCAGGUGCUGAAGGUAAGCUGCAACCACUGCCAAUAUGUUCAAGAAGACUCUUGGGGAGAAAGAAAGGCCAAAAGGAAUUACAUGAUACUGGAAGUGAUCCUGACCUAUCAAAAACUUCAGGAAUUGUUUGUGAGAUGAAUGAAUUGCAAUCUGAAAAUAGGCAUCAUGAAGAUUGAGGGCUGAAAAACAGUCCCGCAGUUGUAAUGAUGGAAUUAUAACUGUGAGAGACACCAUCCUGAAUUUUUCUGAUUUCACAAAGUUGUUAAGGAGUAUUACAGCCAAAAUCAGUCUCCAUCCCCCAUUCUUCUUCGUGACCAAAAAAUAGUUGGAGUAAAAGCCCCUCCCCCUCUGUGCUGAACUGGAAAUGGUUCUACAGCUCCUAUGUGCAGAAUGGAAUUGACUUCCUGCUUUAAAAGGUACCUGUGAGAGGUGUUCCUGAGGCGAGAUGAAGAACAGAGGUAGAUAGAGGAGAAGGAGGUAAAAUGGAUGGAGUACCUGUUUUAUAACCCAGCACCCAUUUGGCUGACAAUAUUUGCUCCCAUCAGGAUUGAAAGUGGGAGAGACUGUCUCCAAAGGAAGGGAGGUGGGUAGAAUGGUAUAGAUGCAGCUCAGUUUAAUGGAGUUGUUCUGGGUCCUCGACCAGCCUGUCAGAACUGUCAUUUAGAUGAUAAUGGAUGCUCAAUAGUGGACACAGAAGAAGUAGAUGGUCUCCUGCUCUGGAACCUUGAUUUCUUCCAGGGUGAUUCAUAAGGUCUCUGAAACUUUGAGAAUGGAGCGUGGUGGGAUCUUUGGGGAUCUGCUAAAGUUUCAUUUGCUUGUAAGUGUGUACAUCCUAAGGGAUCUCAAGGUGGCUCUGAAAUCCUUAAGGAUAUACUAGGACUCAUCAUUGGAUUGAGUGAACAGUAUGAGACCAUUGGAGGGAAGUCCUCAACUGUAUUUGGGACCUCCCUUGGGAAUCCGGACAGCUGGAGCCAGGACACCUUCUGCAUGACCACUGUCAUAGAUAUGGAUUGAGCAGCAGUGUUGGUCACAUCCAGCAAGGCCUGUGCUAACAGUUUGCCCUCGUUAAUAGCCUGAAACUGUUCACGCUGUUCAGCUGGCAGCUGCUCAAUAAAGGUGGUGAACUUGGCAUAAUUUGAGUGGUUGUGUGGUGUCUUCUCAGUACUGAAGACAUCUAGUGGUCAACUUGGAUACAGACUGUACUUAAGGAGACCGUAGGUACUGAUCUCAUAGAGUACCUCUACACUGAAAUAAAAAUCCAUGGCAUAGCUGUGGCUGGUCCAGGUCAGCUGUCUCAGCCAACAGGGCUCAGGGGUGGGGCUAAAAAUUGCUAUGUAGAUGUUUGGGCUCGGGCUGGAGCUUGAGCUCUGGGGCUCUCUCACCUUGUAUGGUCCCAGAGCUCAGACUACAGCCUGAGCCCGAAUGUUUACAUAGCAAUUUUACAGCCCCUCAGCCCAACCCCCAUGCGUGAACUGUGUGGUGCUCUCUCAAUGCUACGGGAAGCAGCUCUGAUCGAGAUAGAUCAUCAUCUGCUGAUGUACAGCACCUCAGAUUAAAGAUGAGAUAGACCACGGGCUGCCAUGAGGAAUACUUUGGACCACAUUCCAGAAUGUGUUACUGCAGAGGGGUCAAAUAGCAGGUGUCUAAUUCUUUCCAAAGACUGCUCUAUUUUAUUUUUAUUAUUUAAAUCCACAAUCACAAAACAUCUCAAAUCACAUCAAGUACAGUGUGUCAUGCUUGGGAAUGUUCCAGAAUCCAUUUGCUGCUGCUGUAUGAUUACAGAAAUUCAAUAAUUCAGAUGAGUAGAAAUCCAGUACAGACGUUUUGCCUGCUCUCCAUUUAAUUUGCUGGUCCCAAACGCAUCUCCUAUCAAAGAAAAAUACAUUUCAGGGGUAAUCAGGGCCCAACAACAGUCAAAAGAUUAUGCUGGUGCUGUUAACCUGUUACAUUUGCUCCUCUUUUGACACUCAAAUCAAUACACCACUGACUAGUUGCUCUGAACAUUGUCAGAAAUAUUUGUGUUGCUGUAAAGACAAACAAAACAAAAGAGAGUCUUCUUCACUAUUCUUAAAGACUACAGUGCUGAAAACCAAUUUCUGCCAUUUAAAAGCAAGCACAGAAGGAAAACAUCUUUCCAGGUAUUAGAUUUAUCCACUUUGGGAGUAUGCCAUUUUAGUCAUGUCAUUCUCUUCACAGUUCAUACUUUUUUCUACAAGUGAAAAUGAGAGUUGAAUCACCCAUAUGUAAACGUGAUUAUUCCUCUUCAUCCAAAAGUGUGUGGUUGAUUUAAGGCUAGGACUGAUGUAGACCCCUUGCCAAAUGAAAAAAAAAAAUCGGACUAUGAAAUUCCUUGUCCAGCUACCUAAUUCAUUAACUAACCAGUACAUUUUAUUACAGGCUUCAGCAAAUUAAUGUGAAAUGGGCCCAUUUUAUGCUAUCAUGGUAUAUGAGC